AAUUGUAGAAUUAAUUAAUAAUAAUCCAGCAUAUGGACAAGUGUUACAGGUGGAAAAUAAUCAGAGAGUGAAUGUCAACGUUGAUGUUAAUCCUGCCUAUGAGACAAUUGCAAGGCAAAACAGACAUGAUACAAACAUCACAGAUUAUGAAACUGUUUGGUGAUUUAAAAGUUAAAACAAAUAAUUUUAGCAAUCA
Long non-coding RNA from Amphimedon queenslandica, 196 nucleotides. RefSeq lists it as uncharacterized. The record is from RefSeq and is a predicted model, not a curated record. The transcript is spliced from 2 exons. Lineage: Eukaryota; Metazoa; Porifera; Demospongiae; Haplosclerida; Niphatidae.